This is a long non-coding RNA of Alosa alosa (allis shad), 184 nucleotides long. RefSeq lists it as uncharacterized. The transcript is spliced from 2 exons. The record is from RefSeq and is a predicted model, not a curated record. Lineage: Eukaryota; Metazoa; Chordata; Actinopteri; Clupeiformes; Clupeidae.
AGAGCAAUACUUACAUCAGCCAGAAUGAAGAGAGAAUCUGUCUGCUCUCUGAAGAAUGCCAUUAACAGCAGGAUCGCUGAGAUUGCCAUGAGGGAAUCUGAGGUUUCACCUUCAGGAAGGUCCUGAGGUUGCCAAUCAACACAACCAUAACUGUCCAAUUUAUUAAAUGAGUUCUUUUGGGGAA